This 363-nucleotide long non-coding RNA is filed under the name Homo sapiens (human). RNAcentral's name for it is "non-protein coding lnc-SLC38A6-2:1". Lineage: Eukaryota; Metazoa; Chordata; Mammalia; Primates; Hominidae. The record is from RNAcentral.
GUGGGGGCCCCGCCGCGGGGCGCCUCCCUCUCCGCGCCGCGCAAGCCCGGGGACUGCUCGCGGGUCGGGUUUCCCGCCAGCUCAGGUGGGUUUUUGCCCGGGCCCCUCCUCUGCCUCCGUCACAGCGGUGAAUCCCUCUGGGUCUGCAGCAACCUCAAUUCUUGCCUCCUCAGAAGAAAGAAUUUGACCAAGGGGCAUAAAGCAGAAAGAUAGUGCAAGGUUUUCAACUCUACUUUCAUCUCCCAUGAGACCUUUUUUUGAGACAAGCAAAGCCUCUCAGUUCAGCUUAUAUAUUUUUGAAUACACCCUCCCAACCUAAAAUCAAACUAGAGCUCUGCAAUUAGAACAUAGCUACAGAAGUUA